Molecule: long non-coding RNA, 862 nt
Filed under: Astyanax mexicanus (Mexican tetra)
Lineage: Eukaryota; Metazoa; Chordata; Actinopteri; Characiformes; Acestrorhamphidae
Description: lncRNA (ENSAMXG00005007400.1)
Source: RNAcentral
GAUUAAUCCUUGCUUCUAUUUCUUUUCACAAUUACCGGUAUUGAGAAAAUGCAUGUAUCUUUCAGGAAUUUAAUCUGAUUCAGUAGAACUGAUUGAGGUUAAGAAACUUUAGCAUUAGUAGUAAAUAAAUUGGUUUGCCCUUUUAUCAAUAGAGGGAACUCCCCAGGAAAGCAUCUGUGAAAUGUGGCUUGUGUUGUGACCCCCUGUAACAGGACGGGCAGGUUUAUUCAUAGUGUUUGCUUGUCCCAGUGAUUUUCUGAGCUGAAAUUAUCGUUUAUAGUGUUUUUUCCUCUAUCUUAGUGAGUUUCCUCUGCUUUUUCCUAGGUACAUUUCCCGGGUCCUUCGCAGGCUUCCCUCACAAACUUACUCCGAAAUGGUGCGAUAGCUGCUGCGCUGUUCAUAAGCUUCAUUCUGGCUCUCUAUACAGUUCUGUGGAAAUGCAUGGUCUCCCCACCCAGAAGGUGAGAGAGAAGAUGAUAUAUAGGUGGAAUCCUUGUUUUUUCACUAAUUAGGUUAAUAUAUAUGCAAAGUAUGAUAUAUGCAAAAUAUGAGCUGUGAACAAUAAUUCAGUUAAAAUACUCAAUCUAAGUGUAAACUGGGAGGUCUUCACUGUGGAAAAUCCUAAAGCAAGCAUAUUGUCUAUAAUACCCUGAAAAAAUCUCCAAAAUGAUAUAUUUACAAGACAUUUUUUAUUUUAAUUGUAAUAAUAUACAGCUCUGGAAAAAAAGAGACCACUUCAGUUUCUGAAUCAAUUUCUCUGAUUUCGCUAUUUAUAUGUAUACGCUUGAGUAAAAUGAACUACGGACAACACUUCUCCCAAAUUCCAAAUAAAAGCAUUUAUUUGUAGAAAAUAAGAAAUGGC